GAAGCCCUGGAUUUUAACCAUGCUUGCAGUUCUUUUCCAUCUGCUGUGAGGGAUAAUUUCUCCUCUUUGUUUCUGAGACGUGCAGCGGACCAGUCCUGACCUGAUCUCCACCCAUGUACACUAGGGAAAGAUGCUUGACGCAACCCUACUUCCUGACAAUCAUGGCAGAAAUUAUAAUUAACGGGGCUGGGAAAAUAAAUAUGGGAGGUGGGGGUUGGAUUCCAGGCAUCAGGGUGAAACUCCAGAAUUGAGGAGGCGUUCAGGUGAAGAUGACACAGUAUUACUGUUGGUCGGCCAGUUGCCACGUGACUCCAGCACCAGCAUCCCAGGGAGCCCAGGAGUGUGACUGGAUAAUUGGCUUAACGGGCUACUGCUGUUCCACUGAAACCUCCCAGCAAGACCAAAGGACAAUAAACCUUUUUCAAACCCGACCUCGCUCCAUCCCUGUUGGUUCAAAAGUGUGAUUUACGAAACUGAACACAAGUGAAGGUCAGACCUGUCCUC
Molecule: long non-coding RNA, 504 nt
Filed under: Scleropages formosus (Asian bonytongue)
Lineage: Eukaryota; Metazoa; Chordata; Actinopteri; Osteoglossiformes; Osteoglossidae
Description: lncRNA (ENSSFOG00015027562.1)
Source: RNAcentral